UGAAAACAGGAAGACUCACCGGAAGUAUCGCCGAAGGAGGCCUUUUCGACAGGGCACGUGGCAGCAGGAGAAGUACCCAGGAGCUGGAAAGAAGAGGGAAAAGAGACCUCGUGUAGUAACGGUGUGAGUACCCUAAACCAUCGUACAGCAGUAUCAUCAUCUAGAGUGAACCAUCUGUGAGCGUUUUGUGAGUUUGUGGCAUAGUAUGUGAGCGGCCCCACUGUGGAGGAGGAUUGUGGGUGAGCCGGGACCAGUGAGCGAGAGAGGAUGUUGGGCUGUUGUGGCGGCAACGUUUAAAUCUGAAUAUUCGUGGCAUCAGUGUCUUCACGACUUCCAGGAAGAGUCUUUGGUCAGACGGGGUGUUGACCCUAAAUUCACCAGAGUGUGUGGAGUGCAGUGGGCCCGACGAAAUCCUGUGAAGGAAGUGAAUACCGAGGCCGCGAAGAAAACAUCUCCAAUUAUAUGCCGUCGAUGACAUCCUGACCCUUCUUCCCCACGUGACGGUGGUGGGAAACAAUUUCAAGUAAGAACAGUGUGGAUCUCCUGGGAAGUAUUAAUGGUGAGGAGUUGGCUGCUGUAGGAGGAAAUCAGCUGUGCGUGUAUUAUUACCUGCUGUGGAGUUCUUCAAAGGUUCGCCCCUGUCUAGAUGUCUUGACUUGUCGGUUGGUAGAAGCCUCAGAAAAGGAACGUCUGACGUCUAUUCCCUCGAAGGUCUGUGAGUUACAUCACUUCCUGUUUCCCUGUAUAUUCACCGUAAACGUAUGCCCAAAGCUAAAGUCAGCAUAUUGUGUUGUACACCCACCUGUCUGCCCAGAGUAAAGUCCCAGUUAUAUUGGAUGUACUUACUUUAUGCCCAAAGCUAAGGCCAGCAUAUUGUGUUGUACACUCGCCUGUAUGCCCAAGUGAAGUCCCAGUUACCUUUGAUGUACUUACCUUAUGCCCAAAGCUAAAGCCAGCAUAUUGUGUUGUACACUCGCCUGUCUGCCCAAAGUGAAGUCCCAGUUGUAUUGGAUGUACUUACCUUAUGCCCAAAGCUAAAGCCAGCAUAUUGUGUUGUACACUCGCCUGUCUGCC
This is a long non-coding RNA of Cyprinus carpio carpio, 1074 nucleotides long. The record is from Ensembl. NCBI's taxonomy places the organism in Eukaryota, Metazoa, Chordata, Actinopteri, Cypriniformes, Cyprinidae.